Long non-coding RNA from Oreochromis aureus, 308 nucleotides. RefSeq lists it as uncharacterized. NCBI's taxonomy places the organism in Eukaryota, Metazoa, Chordata, Actinopteri, Cichliformes, Cichlidae. The transcript is spliced from 3 exons. The record is from RefSeq and is a predicted model, not a curated record.
UCAGGAGUGAAGCUUCUGUCUGCUGCACUGCAGAGUCCAUGUUGUACACUGGAAACUCUCAGAUUGAUGAGCUGUGGUUUGUCAGAGAUCAGCUGUGAUUAUCUGGCAGCAGCACUGAAGUCCAACCCCUCGUAUCCCAGAGUGCUGGACCUGAGUGGAACCUACAACAACCUGCAGGAUUCAGGAGUGAAGCAGCUGUGUGAUCUUCUGGAGAGUCCACGAUGUCGAUUUGAAACUCUGAGACUGAGUCACUGUGACCUGUCAGAGAGAAGCUGUGAAGCUCUGGCCUCAGCUCUCAGCUCUCAGAC